Molecule: long non-coding RNA, 279 nt
Organism: Rhagoletis pomonella (apple maggot)
Lineage: Eukaryota; Metazoa; Arthropoda; Insecta; Diptera; Tephritidae
Exons: 3
Source: RefSeq, a predicted model, not a curated record
GCGCUGUAGGCUUUUGACAACUCUUGACAUUUCAAUUUUUCGCGUCGAUUUUGCUUGUGUGCAGUUUUUAUCGCGUUCUUCAUCAAUUUUAGAUACCUUGCUUUUUAUCGUUCCGGCCACCAGAUUCGUUGGUUUUCAUAAAGUUGCAUUUGCCUGUGCCACUUCCACCCGUGUUUAUAAGGCGUAAUAUUCAACUGGAGAUACCUUGCUUUUUAUCGUUCCGGCCACCAGAUUCGUUGGUAUUCAUAAAGUUGCAUUUGGCUGUGCCACUUCCACCCG